AUCUGAACAGUGCAGCUUUGGAUUUCUAAAACCAAGUGACUAGCUGCAUGAAGAUGGAGCCAUCAACACCUCACCUCGUCUGCACCGUGGAUCUAUAGUUUCUGCCUCAGAACUUGUCUGCUGCUAUGUGCAGCUUGUCUGCUGGCAUUAGCCCACUCAGCCAUUCUAAUGUGUGCACAUCUGAAAUUGCAGGGGAUUCAACAUCCUUGGAACAACCAUCAAUCAGGGAAUGAGAAUUAGUGGAUAAAUAUUCCUCUCUUUCAUGUCAAAGGUGGACCAUUCUGAGGCACAUUCUACACUCUUCAUCAGUGGGACUGAGCCCCAGUUACUCAGUGAUAAAUAGCUCAUUAAUAGCUUUCCUUUCUUACCUCUUACACUUUUAGACUUAUCUUAGUUUUCUGGAAUAACUUUCCAAAAUAAACUAUAUGCAUACAAACCUUGGGUUUAGCCUCGGCUUUAUGAAGUAGCCUAAGGUUAACACUUAUGUUCGUUUGAUGUAUGAUCCAUGUGCAAGUGCAAUGCACUGAGGAAGUAAAUGGAACCAUGUUGGCAAAGGUCAUCAAGAGGACAUGACUGCCAGUUGACUCAAGAGCUAGACCUGGACAAUUGGAGACUCCCCAUCCCCUCCUCUAUUCUUGGAAUGUACAUGCUGCUCACCAUUCCCACAGAGGGAGAGCCAUUUUCAAGGACACAGCCUUGAGAGAGCACUGUGUUCUUGAGACCAUCUUGACGGUGUACAUGACUGGUCCAAGUUAAGGCCUCUGUAUAAACUUUGAGGAUUCUGGCAGACAGAUGCAGAGACGUACUCAUCUUGCAGUCACUCAAAACAAGCCUUGUAGCUUUCGUGGUGACUGUUUGCACUGUGACUUCAAUUCUCUGAUGGAUUUAAGAAAAGUCAUUGAAUUUCAGUUUGUUCAACUUUUUCUUUGCUGUGAGGAUGGAAGUCACGACCUUCUACAGCUUUUUACAGUGUUGGAGUUGAAACCAGAUGUCCUUUCCUCUGCUUUUUAUUUGAAAGUUAUUCUUUUCCAUGGGACCAGGACCUGUACCCCUCUCGAUUUCAUUAAUUUUAAUUGUGAUAAUUUGUAAUUAUUAUUAUAAACAAGUGUAAAUUUUCUGAGAGUUGUAUACUGUUAUUGUGUUUCGUAGUAUAUUACUCUAGCUCUGGAUUUAGAUGAGAAUUGAAACCAUGGUGACCUUAGUUACACUAUUUACAUUACCAUACAAAUAGCAUUGUGUGUGUCUCAAACAAAAUAAGUGAGUAAAUUUCAGAAAUGAGUUUUACACAGUAGGCUCUUUUACCUUUAGGAAUGUGUCUAUAAUUUAGAUAUGUGGAAUUUUAUAUAUUUGACAGUGAUUUCAUGAAUUGGUCAUUCCUAAUUUUGUAAGUACAUUAAAGGUUAUGUCUUUUGAAAAUUCCAAAUUCACCAUAGCAUUUGGUAUACUCUGAGAAUGUUGUUUUGAUAAGUAUUAUACAUGUAAAACUUCUGUAGUGACCAAAAGCUUAUGUAGGACCACAGAAAAAGGAAAGAAUGUGUUCCAAAAAACCCUAGGUCAGUAAAAUACUAGUCAGUGUUUGCGAAAGUAAGUUUAUGGGAAAAUAAAUUUGAAAAAUACUUAUUUGAUUUAUACAGACAUGUUUACCACAGAACUUCUUUGAGCCUCAUUAAGCACACGUACCCUCUGAAUCUCUAAGAAGAAGAAUCUUUUUUCAGUGGAAUUACUAUUAAAGAGUGCUUCAGAUAACACAGAUGGGCAAAUACUGCACCAGAUCAUCCUUUUCAGAUAGAAUAUGUUAAGAUUCAUUACUUACUUUUAUUUGGCAGAAAGUCUUUCUUCUUAGUCGGUGACUGGCUCCCUGCAAUGAUGAACAACUACAUUGCUAUGGCAACAUAGCAAACAAGGUUCUUCCAAUCAGAGAUGCUUCUUUUCAUGUAGAAGAACUUGUCACCAGGUUUCUCAAACUAAGUUUUUAUGAAGUAGAAAAUGUGAUUAGAAAAUAUAUCUGAAAAAAAAGUCUUUAAUUUUGUUAAACAAAAGUAUAUUAGUUUGAAAACUCUGCCUUGUGGGCAGAAUGGAUUAUUAAAAUUGUGCAAGUUAUUCAUCACCAUAAUUUUACUUAAUAAUAAAAGAUUUUAGGUAUGCUGUUUGCAAAUAAUUUAGAAAAAUUCUU
Molecule: long non-coding RNA, 2173 nt
Filed under: Equus caballus (horse)
Lineage: Eukaryota; Metazoa; Chordata; Mammalia; Perissodactyla; Equidae
Description: lncRNA (ENSECAG00000049225.1)
Source: RNAcentral